AGUGAACGCUGGCGGUAGGCCUAACACAUGCAAGUCGAACGGCAGCACAGGAGAGCUUGCUCUCUGGGUGGCGAGUGGCGGACGGGUGAGGAAUACAUCGGAAUCUACUUUUUCGUGGGGGAUAACGUAGGGAAACUUAUGCUAAUACCGCAUACGACCUACGGGUGAAAGCAGGGGACCUUCGGGCCUUGCGCGAUUGAAUGAGCCGAUGUCGGAUUAGCUAGUUGGCGGGGUAAAGGCCCACCAAGGCGACGAUCCGUAGCUGGUCUGAGAGGAUGAUCAGCCACACUGGAACUGAGACACGGUCCAGACUCCUACGGGAGGCAGCAGUGGGGAAUAUUGGACAAUGGGCGCAAGCCUGAUCCAGCCAUACCGCGUGGGUGAAGAAGGCCUUCGGGUUGUAAAGCCCUUUUGUUGGGAAAGAAAUCCAGCUGGCUAAUACCCGGUUGGGAUGACGGUACCCGAAGAAUAAGCACCGGCUAACUUCGUGCCAGCAGCCGCCGCGG
This 506-nucleotide ribosomal RNA is filed under the name uncultured bacterium. RNAcentral's name for it is "partial 16S ribosomal RNA". It matches the Rfam family "Bacterial small subunit ribosomal RNA", at positions 29 to 523 of the family's 1533-position model. The record is from RNAcentral.